UUUUUUUAAAUAUGAACUCUGUUCCUAUUUGAGCUAACAACAAGCAAGGCAAUGGUACAGCAAACUCAUGAUCUUUUCCUUUUUUUCCUUUUCUUUGCAGGUAUAUCACUGACUUAGAUGUGGAGGGAUGUCCAGAUAUAAAUCGAAGUCAGUUGUUUCAAAGUCUAACAUACUUUAUUAUAGACAACAAUCUAAUACAUUAUUCAGAAAAGACUUCCUGUUUGAGUGAAGAAGAUAACAAUUUUUUUCUUUAUUCAAUUAAAAAAUAUAACAUAGAUUUGACUAAAAAGCUUGCUUUUGCUUUUAUAUAUUAUGAUAAUUCUAACGAACCUGUUUUGAUCGGACCUGUAGGUCUUGAGAAAAAUAAAAAACAUCAAUCUGAUCACAAAAAAAAUGAGAAAAAUAUUCACAGAGAAACCAUUUUACUUUCUUUGAUUGAGGAGGAAAUUGGGUGUAAAAAUAAUGUAGGCAAAGUUUAUGUCUUCCUCCCUUACAGUCCUUGUCCUCAUAGAAAAGAUGGAGGAUCAUGUAUGAGAGAUAUAUUUAAUAAAGCAAAAGAAUGGGACACUCGAUAUGGGAUUAUAACAAAAUGUGUAUUUCAUAAUUACUAUGGGAUCAAUGGAACGACAGGAAAGUUUUGCAAUAAAUUUCUGGAAAAGCCUUUGGAUGAAAUUUUAGAAGACAAACCGAUAACUGACAAAAGCAACAUCUGGCAUGUCACAUUAAAAGAAUUCCUUGGUGUUAAAAUAAAAGAUAAUCAGUUUAAUUUAAAGUUUUUGGAACAGAUGGAACAAAGCCUAAACCAAGAAAGUCCCGACAAAGAACUUUACAGAGAACAUUGUAAAGAAAUAUUCUCUGAAAAGUUCAAUAAAAUAAUAUUUGAAUACACUUUAGAGCAGAAUGAACGACCAUAUUUGCAGUUUGGUUUUCUGGGAGAUCUAUUAUAAGAAUUUUUAUAUAUAGAACACCCUAAUAUAUUAUACACAAUAGGGGGUACCUCUGGUUCUGUUUCAUGGCAUCCACGGCUCAGAGAGGAAGUCUGGGCGUAAGUGCGGGGGGGAAGCAUAGGCCCUUUCCUGCAUGGACCUCAGCAGAAAAACAGUCUUUGAGCAUUUAGGGUUUGCCAUGAAAUUGAACAGUUUUUUCUAUUGUGGAAAAUUUAAAUAAAAAGAUUUUAAACUUUUAAAUGUGUCAGUCUCUUGUUUUGCCUGGGUUUGCACAGCUGUGUUUCC
RNAcentral lists this long non-coding RNA (1232 nucleotides) under Astyanax mexicanus (Mexican tetra). RNAcentral's name for it is "lncRNA (ENSAMXG00005006281.1)". The record is from RNAcentral. Lineage: Eukaryota; Metazoa; Chordata; Actinopteri; Characiformes; Acestrorhamphidae.